UUACAGGAAUGCAAUAUUACUGGAUGAAAUAAUUAUACUGAUCCUAGCCUUAUUUUAAAAGGGUCCCCAGAAUGCCCUUCUCCAAGACUUAGAAAAAUCAAAUGCUAUCCAUCCCUCAAGAUACAUUCCUCCAGCCCCUCCUUGAAGUCUCCUGCAGCUAGAAGUAGCAUCUAACCCCACCUGGACUGCUUAGCACUUUGCUGUACCUCCCUUAGUCCCCAUCUCUUUACACACACAAACACACACACAC
This 250-nucleotide long non-coding RNA is filed under the name Pongo abelii (Sumatran orangutan). Its description in RNAcentral is "lincRNA". Lineage: Eukaryota; Metazoa; Chordata; Mammalia; Primates; Hominidae. The record is from RNAcentral.